UACGUAGGUGGCAAGCGUUGUCCGGAUUUAUUGGGUUUAAAGGGUGCGUAGGCGGUCUAUUAAGUCAGUGGUGAAAUAUGGCAGCUUAACUGUCAGGGUGCCAUUGAUACUAUGGACUUGAGUGAAGUCGAAGUAGGCGGAAUUGACGGUGUAGCGGUGAAAUGCUUAGAUAUCGUCAAGAACACCGAUAGUGAAGACAGCUUACUAGGCUUAUACUGACGCUGAGGCACGAAAGUGUGGGGAUCAAACAGG
RNAcentral lists this ribosomal RNA (252 nucleotides) under uncultured bacterium. Its description in RNAcentral is "partial 16S ribosomal RNA". It matches the Rfam family "Bacterial small subunit ribosomal RNA", at positions 524 to 776 of the family's 1533-position model. The record is from RNAcentral.